Molecule: long non-coding RNA, 1153 nt
Organism: Corapipo altera (White-ruffed manakin)
Lineage: Eukaryota; Metazoa; Chordata; Aves; Passeriformes; Pipridae
Exons: 7
Source: RefSeq, a predicted model, not a curated record
GGGAGCUGAGGGCUGGGAAAGUACCUGCGAGGCGAAGGAGCCCGGCUCUCCCUCCGUGCUGGGCAAGGCGCCCUGAGGGGGCACCAGCCGUGCUGUGGGUGGUGGAGGCCGGCGGUAGAGCUGCCCUGUAGCCAGAAAGGACACACUGGAACUGCUGCCUUGACCACUCUACUGAAGGCUGAUGCUCUUGGCUGGCUGGAUUAAAUGCUCACAAUUAACUUCACCUCUCUGUGGAUGAAUGGUAGAAGGCCAUAAUAUCCAGCAGAGAGAAGCUGUGAUGUGAUACAGGUGUCUUUGAAUCCUGCAGGAACUGAGUGGCUUCUUGCUGCGAAAUAAGAGUAUGGAAAGUGUUGAACAACUGCCCGCGGUGCAGUGAGGCCGAGAUCCCUGGACAAACAUACAGGAAGGCAAACGGUGAAGACAGCAAUGUCUCACCUCAGGGGACUGGGAAAAGUGUGGUGAUAUCUGGGCACAGAGAACCCACAUCAGUUGGACUCUCCUCUGAAGCACAGGUGAAAGAAGACACCACAUAAGCGUUGUCUGCGGGGAAAUCUGCUCUGAUGAACGAAGAGCUCUGAAUGGCAAGUUUGCUUCUCCUGGAAGGAUACUUUACCAGCCACGCUGUUACUACUCAUGGGCACAUAAGACUUGAAAAUGAGGAACAGGGGCUUCACCUGGAGUAGCAGAUUCUGAACGCUUGUCCGUGUAGGAUUGACUUGCAGAUAGUUACCCACUCCUGACUCCAAGCAGCCAUCAUGAGAUCUGCUGUGGGCUUAUAUCAUGGCUACUGGUUUAUGAUGUCCCAGAGCUAAGAAAAGGAUAGCUGAAACAAAGCAGACUAGUACUUGAACACAAACGAUCCUGCUGAGAGGCUGAGAAUCAGUGCUCAUCAUUUCCCCCUCACUGACACUUGAAUAUAUUUUCCCAGGAGAAAACAUUAAACAAAAAGAGAAAGAGAGAAAGGGAGAGAGAGAGGGAGAGGGAGAGUGACUGAGCUAGCUUUUCAAAGCCUACUUCUCAACCUGCCCACAUCAAAAUAAGAGACAACUGGCCCUUUGAAGUCCAGGACACAGACUCCUCUACCAGCCCAUGUGGAAAUAAAAGAAUCCAGCUUUAUAAAUCACACAGAUUUCUCACCUUGCCCACAUCAAAA